UACCCGGUGGUGUAAUUGGUAACACAGGAGGUUUUGGUCCUCCCAUUCCAGGUUCGAGUCCUGGCCGGGUAGCCA
RNAcentral lists this transfer RNA (75 nucleotides) under Planctomycetota bacterium. RNAcentral describes it as "tRNA-Gln". It matches the Rfam family "tRNA". From Rfam's summary of the family: Transfer RNA (tRNA) molecules are approximately 80 nucleotides in length. Their secondary structure includes four short double-helical elements and three loops (D, anti-codon, and T loops). The record is from RNAcentral. Lineage: Bacteria; Pseudomonadati; Planctomycetota.